This 139-nucleotide ribosomal RNA is filed under the name Malassezia sympodialis. Its description in RNAcentral is "partial large subunit ribosomal RNA". Lineage: Eukaryota; Fungi; Basidiomycota; Malasseziomycetes; Malasseziales; Malasseziaceae. The record is from RNAcentral.
UGAGCAUGGCAUGAUACGUCAUUUGCUGUGUGUGGGCGGCCGGUUGGAGAGGUGUCUGCUUUACCAGCCCUUUUUUAAUUCUGGUCUCAAAUCAGGUAGGAUCACCCGCUGAACUUAAGCAUAUCAAUAAGCGGGAGGA